UACGGAGGGUGCAAGCGUUAAUCGGAAUUACUGGGCGUAAAGCGUGCGCAGGCGGUUUGUUAAGUCCGUUGUGAAAGCCCCGAGCUCAACUUGGGAAUUGCAGUGGAUACUGGCAGGCUGGAGUACGGUAGAGGAAGGUGGAAUUCCCGGUGUAGCAGUGAAAUGCGUAGAUAUCGGGAGGAACACCAGUGGCGAAGGCGGCCUUCUGGACCAGUACGUGACGCUCAUGCACGAAAGCGUGGGAGCAAACAGG
Molecule: ribosomal RNA, 253 nt
Filed under: uncultured bacterium
Lineage: Bacteria
Description: partial 16S ribosomal RNA
Rfam family: Bacterial small subunit ribosomal RNA
Source: RNAcentral